GUGUCUGAGGGACCAUGAACUAGCCCGCUGUUUAAAAUGUUUGAGGACCCCUGAGAAACUGGGUGCAUGAUCAGAGCUAUAUAAAUACAGCACAAGUUAAUAUUUCUUACUGAAAAGCUAUACCAGAGUAAGCCUUAGUUGUAAGGACAGACAUUUAAAUUCCAAAUCAUAUUCAUGCAGAAAACAGAAGCAUAAAUUUCAGGUGUCACUAAAUUAAGGAGCUAAAAGUUAAGCUUGAAGAUAUCUGCAGAUACAUAAACAAACCAGUCAUUGGAGAUGUGACGUUUUGCUAGAGCUCUCAUAGAAUUAGC
Molecule: non-coding RNA, 311 nt
Organism: Pelobates cultripes (western spadefoot toad)
Lineage: Eukaryota; Metazoa; Chordata; Amphibia; Anura; Pelobatidae
Source: the annotation of a GenBank genome assembly